RNAcentral lists this ribosomal RNA (216 nucleotides) under uncultured Glomus. RNAcentral describes it as "partial small subunit ribosomal RNA". It matches the Rfam family "Eukaryotic small subunit ribosomal RNA", at positions 569 to 785 of the family's 1831-position model. Lineage: Eukaryota; Fungi; Glomeromycota; Glomeromycetes; Glomerales; Glomeraceae. The record is from RNAcentral.
AGCAGCCGCGGUAAUUCCAGCUCCAAUAGCGUAUAUUAAAGUUGUUGCAGUUAAAAAGCUCGUAGUUGAAUUUCGGGAUUGGCAUAUCGGUCGUGUCUUCGGAUAUGUACUGGUAGUUGUCAAUCUCCACCUUCUAGUGAACUAUUAUGCCUUUCACUAGGUGUAAUAGGGAGCUAGGACUGUUACUUUGAAAAAAUUAGAGUGUUUAAAGCAGGC